ACAUGCACAGACAGCCACACCUCGCUCCUUAGGACCCCAGCCGCCAUAUGCUGCACCAGUUGGGAGCUCAACUUGCCAAGAACUCUAGAAGAAAGAGAAAAGUGGUGAAAACUGACCCCAGCACAGCACAAACAUGGCGGAAAUCUUUGAGUUGUAGACUUAAGAGAAAAUUUGGAGAGAAAACGUUCUUUCAACUGCUUUCAGGAGCAUGUAAAAUCAGCAGAUGCCAGCCAAAUGUUGCAUAAUCUCAAAGGGAGCAUCCAUUCAUCUUCAGCCUGGUCCCUGUCCUCUGGCUAAAAGGGGCAGCAAUAUUUCUGCCUGCGUCCAGGAGGGUGAAACUGUCAUGUUUUUUUUUUUUUUUUCGGCUCUGUCUGAUAAGUUCUCCCUCCCAUCUCUUCUUUAAGAGGUUUCCUGCCAGAGCUGUGCAAAAGUUGAAGUGGAUGAUGAAGAGGCUGAGCAGGGGGCCUGGCAGCGCUGCAUCCCACACAGACGCCUCUCUUGUGGGCAUGCCGAGAGGGACAUGGCCCCCGUGAUGGAAGGUUGCUGGCAGUCUGGAGCCGGAACUGCAGAAGGAAAAGGUGUGCUAGGCUUUUUGGCAUUUCCUCUUUCUUAUCGCAGGAGGCAGGUAGGAGUCAUGGGCAAACAACACGCAUCAUUACCUGUGUGAGUAAAGUGGUCGGGUCCUGGCACCUUCAACCGUUGCAGAAUAACUAAUGCCUGGAACCUUCCACCCGGCUCUGUACCAGCCCAGAGGCAAUUUGGGGGUUCACCCAUUGCAGAUAGCUCAGAUAACUGGGCAUUAAUUUGCCCUCAUUACUCCAAAAACAUACAGCCUCAGGGUAUGUCUAGAGAGCAGUCUGAGACCCCCGAGUAGCUCACCUAUGCAUUAAUGUCAAGGAUGACUCUAUAAAAAAAAACAACAACAACUAUGUAUUGGUUUUGCCUACCCAUUAAAAGAAC
Molecule: long non-coding RNA, 960 nt
Organism: Sinocyclocheilus anshuiensis
Lineage: Eukaryota; Metazoa; Chordata; Actinopteri; Cypriniformes; Cyprinidae
Exons: 5
Source: RefSeq, a predicted model, not a curated record